This 465-nucleotide ribosomal RNA is filed under the name Triticum aestivum (bread wheat). RNAcentral's name for it is "partial small subunit ribosomal RNA". The record is from RNAcentral. Lineage: Eukaryota; Viridiplantae; Streptophyta; Magnoliopsida; Poales; Poaceae.
AUGGCGACUACCACCAUAUCCCUCUCCUCGACCUUCGCCGGCAAGUCAGUGAAGAACGUGGCUUCAUCAGCUCUCUUUGGUGAGGCCCGUGUCACUAUGCGCAAGACCGCUGCAAAGGCCAAGCAGGUUUCAUCAGGCAGCCUGUGGUUCGGUGCCGAUCGUGUGCUCUACCUCGGCCUGCUUUCCGGCGACCCCCCGAGCUACUUGACGGGUGAGUUCCCCGGCGACUACGGAUGGGACACCGCUGGGCUCUCAGCCGACCCCGAGACCUUUGCCAAGAACCGGGAGCACGAGGUGAUCCACUGCCGGUGGGCCAUGCUCGGUGCGCUCGGAUGCGUCUUCCCUGAGCUUUUUGCACGCAACGGCGUCAAGUUCGGCGAGGCCGUAUGGUUCAAGGUCGGUUCCCAGAUCUUCAGCGAGGGUGGCCUUGACUACCUCGGCAACCCCAGCCUCGUGCAUGCCUAG